This is a non-coding RNA of Parascedosporium putredinis, 86 nucleotides long. Lineage: Eukaryota; Fungi; Ascomycota; Sordariomycetes; Microascales; Microascaceae. The record is from the annotation of a GenBank genome assembly.
GGACAGAUAGCUCAGUGGUAGAGCGAAGGAUUGCAGUUCCUCUGCUAAAUAUCCUUAGGUCGCGUGUUCGAUCCACGCUCGGUCCU